This 708-nucleotide ribosomal RNA is filed under the name uncultured bacterium. RNAcentral describes it as "bacterial SSU rRNA". It matches the Rfam family "Bacterial small subunit ribosomal RNA", at positions 137 to 848 of the family's 1533-position model. The record is from RNAcentral.
AGAGGGAUAGCCCAGAGAAAUUUGGAUUAAUACCUCAUAGCAUCAUGUUCCGGCAUCGGGAUAUGAUUAAAGUCACAACGGUGGAAGAUGAGCAUGCGUCCCAUUAGCUAGUUGGUAAGGUAACGGCUUACCAAGGCUACGAUGGGUAGGGGUCCUGAGAGGGAGAUCCCCCACACUGGUACUGAGACACGGACCAGACUCCUACGGGAGGCAGCAGUGAGGAAUAUUGGUCAAUGGACGCAAGUCUGAACCAGCCAUGCCGCGUGCAGGAUGACGGUCCUAUGGAUUGUAAACUGCUUUUGUACGGGAAGAAACACUCCUACGUGUAGGAGCUUGACGGUACCGUAAGAAUAAGGAUCGGCUAACUCCGUGCCAGCAGCCGCGGUAAUACGGAGGAUCCAAGCGUUAUCCGGAAUCAUUGGGUUUAAAGGGUCCGUAGGCGGUUUGGUAAGUCAGUGGUGAAAGCCCAUCGCUCAACGGUGGAACGGCCAUUGAUACUGCCGAACUUGAAUUAUUGGGAAGUAACUAGAAUAUGUAGUGUAGCGGUGAAAUGCUUAGAGAUUACAUGGAAUACCAAUUGCGAAGGCAGGUUACUACCAAUGGAUUGACGCUGAUGGACGAAAGCGUGNGUAGCGAACAGGAUUAGAUACCCUGGUAGUCCACGCCGUAAACGAUGGAUCCUAGCUGUUGGUGGCAACAUCAGUGGCU